AGGCCCGUGAUGUCAAUGGUAGCAUAGCGGUCUCCAAAACCGCUCGUGGAGGUUCGAAUCCUCCCGGGCCUG
RNAcentral lists this transfer RNA (72 nucleotides) under Patescibacteria group bacterium. RNAcentral describes it as "tRNA-Trp". It matches the Rfam family "tRNA". From Rfam's summary of the family: Transfer RNA (tRNA) molecules are approximately 80 nucleotides in length. Their secondary structure includes four short double-helical elements and three loops (D, anti-codon, and T loops). RNAcentral also lists the same sequence under 1 other name. The record is from RNAcentral.